This 401-nucleotide ribosomal RNA is filed under the name uncultured bacterium. RNAcentral describes it as "partial 16S ribosomal RNA". It matches the Rfam family "Bacterial small subunit ribosomal RNA", at positions 28 to 526 of the family's 1533-position model. The record is from RNAcentral.
GACGAACGCUGGCGGCGUGCCUAAUACAUGCAAGUCGAGCGAAGCGGGGACGGGUGAGUAACACGUAAGGAACCUCCGAUAAGCGGGGGACAACAUCCGGAAACGGGUGCUCAACCGCAUACUUAUCGAUGGCCUGCGUGCAUUAGCUCGUUGGUGGGGUAACGGCCUAACAGGCAAUGAUGCCUAUCCGACCGAGAGGGGAACCGGCCACAUUGGGACUGAGACACGGCCCAACCUCCUUCGGGAGGCAGCAGUAGGGAAUAUGCCGCAAUGGGCGCAAGCCUGACGGAGCAACGCCGCGUGAGUGAAGAAGGUUUUCGGAUCGUAAAGCUCUGUUGUAAGAGAAGCGGUAUCUUACCAGAAAGCCACGGCUAACUACGUGCCAGCAGCCGAGGUAAUAC